UACGAAGGGGGCUAGCGUUGUUCGGAUUUACUGGGCGUAAAGCGCACGUAGGCGGAUCUUUAAGUCAGAGGUGAAAUCCCAAGGCUCAACCUUGGAACUGCCUUUGAUACUGGGGAUCUCGAGUCCGGGAGAGGUGAGUGGAACUGCGAGUGUAGAGGUGAAAUUCGUAGAUAUUCGCAAGAACGCCAGUGGCGAAGGCGGCUCACUGGCCCGGUACUGACGCUGAGGUGCGAAAGCGUGGGGAGCAAACAGG
Molecule: ribosomal RNA, 253 nt
Filed under: uncultured bacterium
Lineage: Bacteria
Description: partial 16S ribosomal RNA
Rfam family: Bacterial small subunit ribosomal RNA
Source: RNAcentral